UCAGAAGGUGGCAUAGUGGUUUGUGUAUUGAACUAUGACUCCGGAGAUCAGGGUUCAAAUCCCUGCUGAG
Non-coding RNA from Phrynosoma platyrhinos (Desert horned lizard), 70 nucleotides. The record is from the annotation of a GenBank genome assembly. Lineage: Eukaryota; Metazoa; Chordata; Lepidosauria; Squamata; Phrynosomatidae.